This 566-nucleotide ribosomal RNA is filed under the name uncultured archaeon. Its description in RNAcentral is "bacterial SSU rRNA". It matches the Rfam family "Archaeal small subunit ribosomal RNA", at positions 326 to 894 of the family's 1478-position model. The record is from RNAcentral.
CGGGGUGCACCAGGCGCGAAAACUUUACAAUGCUGGCAACAGCGAUAAGGGGACCUCGAGUGCCAGGAUACAAUCUUGGCUGUCGCGAUGCCUAAAAAGCAUUGCAUAGCAAGGGCCGGGCAAGACUGGUGCCAGCCGCCGCGGUAACACCGGCGGCUCGAGUGGUAACCGCUAUUAUUGGGUCUAAAGGGUCUGUAGCCGGCCGGAUAAGUCUUUUGGGAAAUCCAGCUGCUCAACAGUUGGGCUUUCAGAAGAUACUGUUCGGCUCGAGACCGGGAGAGGUGAGAGGUACUUCAGGGGUAGGGGUGAAAUCUUGUAAUCCUUGAAGGACCACCAGUGGCGAAGGCGUCUCACCAGAACGAAUCUGACGGCAAGGGACGCAAGCUAGGGGCACGAACCGGAUUAGAUACCCGGGUAGUCCUAGCCGUAAACGAUACUCGCUAGGUGUCAGCCACGGUGCGACCGUGGUUGGUGCCGUAGGGAAGCCGUGAAGCGAGCCACCUGGGAAGUACGGCCGCAAGGCUGAAACUUAAAGGAAUUGGCGGGGGAGCACAAGGGCGAUUCGC